AGUUCGAUUCUGGCUCAGAUUGAACGCUGGCGGGAUGCUUUACACAUGCAAGUCGAACGGCAGCACGGACUUCGGUCUGGUGGCGAGUGGCGAACGGGUGAGUAAUGUAUCGGAACGUGCCUAGUAGCGGGGGAUAAUUAUGCGAAAGCGUAGCUAAUACCGCAUACGCCCUUCGGGGGAAAGCGGGGACCUUCGGGCCUCGCACUAUUAGAGCGGCCGAUAUCGGAUUAGCUAGUUGGUGGGGUAACGGCUCACCAAGGCGACGAUCCGUAGCUGGUUUGAGAGGACGACCAGCCACACUGGGACUGAGACACGGCCCAGACUCCUACGGGAGGCAGCAGGGGGAAUUUUGGACAAUGGGGAAACCCUGAUCCAGCCAUCCCGCGUGUGCGAUGAAGGCCUUCGGGUUGUAAAGCACUUUUGGCAGGAAAAGAAACGCACGGGAUAAUACCCCGUGCAGUUGACGGUACUGCAGAAUAAGCACCGGCUAACUACGUGCCAGCAGCCGCGGUAAUACGUAGGGUGUGCGUUAAUCGGAAUUACUGGGCGUAAAGCGUGCGCAGGCGGUUCGGAAAGAAAGAUGUGAAAUCCCAGUACUUAACUUUGGAACUGCAUUUUUAACUACCGAGCUAGAGUGUGUCAGAGGGAGGUGGAAUUCGCGUAGCAGUGAAUGCGUAGAUAUGCGGAGGAACACCGAUGGCGAAGGCAGCCUCCUGGGAUAACACUGACGCUCAUGCACGAAAGCGGGGAGCAAACAGGAUUAGAUACCCUGGUAGUCCACGCCCUAAACGAUGUCAACUAGCUGUUGGGGCCUUCGGGCCUUGGUAGCGCAGCGACUGCGGUGGAAGUUGACCGCCUGGGGAGUACGGUCGCAAGAUUAAAACCUGAAAGGAAUUGACGGGGACCCACACAAGCGGUGGAUGAUGUGGAUUAAUUCGAUGCAACGCGAAAAAACCCACUCUACCCUUGACAUGUCUGGAAUCCCGAAGAGAUUUGGGAGUGCUCGCAAGAGAACCGGAACACAGGUGCUGCAUGGCUGUCGUCAGCUCGUGUCGUGAGAUGUUGGGUUAAGUCCUGCAACGAGCGCAACCCUUGUCAUUAGUUGCUACGAAAGGGCACUCUAUCGAGACUGCCGGUGACAAACCGGAGGAAGGUGGGGAUGACGUCAAGUCCUCAUGGCCCUUAUGGGUAGGGCUUCACACGUCAAGGCUGGUCGGGACAGGGAGGGUCGCCAACCCGCGAGGGGAGCCAAUCCCAGAAACCCGAUCGUAGUCCGGAUCGCAGUCUGCAACUCGACUGCGUGAAGUCGGAAUCGCUAGUAAUCGCGGAUCAGCAUGUUGCGGUGAAUACGUUCCUGGUCUUGUACACACCGCCCGUCACACCAUGGGAGUGGGUUUUACCAGAAGUAGUUAGCCUAACCGUAAGGAGGGCGAUUACCACGGUAGGAUUCAUGACUGGGGUGAAGUCGUAACAAGGUA
This 1478-nucleotide ribosomal RNA is filed under the name uncultured Bordetella sp. RNAcentral's name for it is "partial 16S-23S ribosomal RNA intergenic spacer". It matches the Rfam family "Bacterial small subunit ribosomal RNA". The record is from RNAcentral. Lineage: Bacteria; Pseudomonadati; Pseudomonadota; Betaproteobacteria; Burkholderiales; Alcaligenaceae.